This 253-nucleotide ribosomal RNA is filed under the name uncultured bacterium. Its description in RNAcentral is "partial 16S ribosomal RNA". It matches the Rfam family "Bacterial small subunit ribosomal RNA", at positions 524 to 776 of the family's 1533-position model. The record is from RNAcentral.
GACGAACCGAGCGAACGUUGUUCGGAAUCACUGGGCUUAAAGGGCGCGUAGGCGGGUGCUCAAGUCCGUGGUGAAAUCCUCCGGCUCAACCGGAGAACUGCCUCGGAUACUGGGUGCCUCGAGGGUGGUAGGGGUAUGCGGAACUAUCGGUGGAGCGGUGAAAUUCGUAGAUAUUCGCAAGAACACCAGUGGCGAAGGCGGCUCACUGGCCCGGUACUGACGCUGAGGUGCGAAAGCGUGGGGAGCAAACAGG